Non-coding RNA from Pelobates cultripes (western spadefoot toad), 220 nucleotides. The record is from the annotation of a GenBank genome assembly. NCBI's taxonomy places the organism in Eukaryota, Metazoa, Chordata, Amphibia, Anura, Pelobatidae.
GUAGCCUUGCAGUCGAUCUCCAGUAAAAUUUUCAAUCCAAGAUGUAUUCCCUCUUAAAUGGCUCUUGACAGAGCUGUCCUCUUUCUCCAUUGUUACACAUUAAUGGCUGAUGUAUUCUUUCUCCAGAGAUAUAUUUUUGUGUUGCUGAGCGUUGUGUUCCUUUUUCAGAAAUAUAUCAUCCUAUUACAGACAGCUACGUCCCUCCUCCAGUUCUUAAAAC